GACGAACGCUGGCGGCGUGCUUAACACAUGCAAGUCGAGCGAUGAAACACCUUCGGGUGCGGAUUAGCGGCGAACGGGUGAGGAACACGUGAGGAAUCUGCCUUCCACUCUGGGAUAACUCCGGGAAACCGGGGCUAAUACCGGAUACUUUCAACUGGCGGCAUCGCCGGUUGAAGAAAGUUUUUCGGUGGAAGAUGACCUCGCGGCCUAUCAGCUUGUUGGUGAGGGAAAGGCUCACAAAGGCGACGACGGGUAGCCGGCCUGAGAGGGCGACCGGACACACUGGGACUGAGACACGGCCCAGACUCCUACGGGAGGCAGCAGUGGGGAAUAUUGGGCAAUGGAGGAAACUCUGACCCAGCGACGCCGCGUGAGGGAUGAAGGCCUUCGGGUUGUAAACCUCUUUCAGCACCGACGAAGCGCAAGUGACGGUAGGUGCAGAAGAAGGACCGGCCAACUACGUGCCAGCCGCCGCAGUAA
This 480-nucleotide ribosomal RNA is filed under the name uncultured bacterium. Its description in RNAcentral is "partial 16S ribosomal RNA". It matches the Rfam family "Bacterial small subunit ribosomal RNA", at positions 28 to 523 of the family's 1533-position model. The record is from RNAcentral.